This 117-nucleotide non-coding RNA is filed under the name Nomascus leucogenys (northern white-cheeked gibbon). Lineage: Eukaryota; Metazoa; Chordata; Mammalia; Primates; Hylobatidae. The record is from Rfam by way of RNAcentral.
GCCGGGCGUGGUGGCUCACGCCUGUAAUCCCAGCACUUUGGGAGGCUGAGGCGGGUGGAUCACCUGAGGUCAGGAGUUCGAGACCAGCCUGGCCAACAUAGUGAAACCCUGUCUCUA